CCCACACCCAAGCAAAUGAGCCCUGCUGAAGUUCACCAUCUCCACUCAGGUUGCUUCCCCAGGAGACCAGCCUUCACUGGGGGAGAAGACUGCCCUGCGGCGGGCUCUCCUUGGCAAGCACAGCAAAGGACAGCCAGCCAUGGCACAGGUCACAGGCAGAAAGGACAGGUUUUACCGGGCAAAGCUGUAUCUCAGCAGACUCCCAGUUUCACCAGGGGUACACCACGUUGGAGCUAGAAGGCUGGAUGUCCAGAUGUAUUCGGGGACUUCAGGAUAAUCUUGGCAUCAGUUGUUCUACUAGAAUCUGGACCAAAGACCACUUCAUGAGAGUCUUUUCCUCAAACUUGUAAUAGGUAUGUUUAAGAACCAGCUGUUAUUCCUGGGUGAGGGGAAUGAGAAGAUAAGCAUCUGUAACUGUUGAGUCUGUAUCGCAGAGGCUGAAGUCCAGCACGUUUUCUCCUGCAGUCUUUAUCUCUGCCUGAAGGCAGACUCCUAAAGAAUGAUCCAGUGGAGAUGUGGACCCUGUAUACUGGGUUUAAGCCUACUGACAAAGCAUGGGCUCUUUCCAGUCAUGUUUCACAUGGCUUGCUCAGAAGCAGCCCUUAGUUACCUGGCAAUCUACCACAGAAAAUUCUCAUCAUCUACUUUUGGAAUAGUCUAUAGUUUGGCUAAUGAGAAAUCUCUUUGGAUCACCUAGCUGAUGUGACACAAUUAUUCUACUUGGAGACAGAGGACACACUGCUUUUAUGUUUGAAUUGAAAUGCCCUUCCCAGACUGUGACUUGAAGGGAGACUGAUGAUAGUUGUACAAGAAACCCUUUGGAAGACUCUCUGGUCCUUGGAUUAUUCCAUGAGCUUGAAGCUUUUCUUGGAUUAGAGUAUCUUCCCAGGAAAUCGAUGGUGGUGUGGGAGUUCAUUUAUCUGCGAGAGUGGAUUGCAUGCCUGAGGUUCUGUGACCACUUUGUUCCAAAAAUGAUGUGUUUAAAAAUAAAUAAGAGGCACCAGAUGGCAGCAUUUUCCCUCACUCCGAGUGUGAUCUCAUCCUCUCGGAUUCACUCCUGGGAUCAUCAGGCUUUGAGGCUGCGUAAACCACAACGACCUCAACGGAACUGCACCCUCUCUGUCGCCACCUGCUCUUUUUCCCACUUUCAUUGGACGUGUAGAGUCACAUUCAGGUGGCCUGGAUGCGAUCCAGGCCCUUGAAACUGUGGUUUGCCUUUUGCCUGUGCAGGCCUUAAGAGUCCAUAAGAAUCAUUAGCAUACAGGCACGUAAAAAUUUAGACCCAGCGAACAUGGCUCCGAGCUCUAAAUUUUCCAUAUUUAUUAAGUAGCAUGCAGGGUUUUUUGAUUUUAUGUUUAACUAACCGCUCUUUUCCACGUACAGGCAUGCACAAUGUUAUUUUUGUUUACAAGCAAGUUUUGCAUGUGUUCUUUUCUAUCAACUCUUUAUACUUUGAAUCUCGAAAUAAUAUUUCAUUGUACACCAGUUAUGUAUGACUAGUUAUGUGCACCUAGGCUUGUAACCUCUGUAGCAAGAACUCUGUUCCGCACAAAUAAUCCAAGGCAGGGCAGGGAUUUUGAGAACUUAACUUCGCAAGCUAUGGUUUCUUUUACAGUUACAGAUGUGGCCUAAAACUUUGUGGGCUAGGGAUUCUGUUGUCGCACCGUUCUCCAUGCUGCUUCUUCCCCUCAUCCUCAUGUUCUUGCUUAUAAAUUCAAGUCUGCUUUAUCAGUGGUUUUGUCAUAGAAGGAAAAAAAAAACCACAUUAUGUUCAGCUGUAACAAACUAUUCAUAAAUAAUCCACCUUUGAACUCUGAAUCUGCAGC
This is a long non-coding RNA of Harpia harpyja (harpy eagle), 1826 nucleotides long. RefSeq lists it as uncharacterized. Lineage: Eukaryota; Metazoa; Chordata; Aves; Accipitriformes; Accipitridae. The record is from RefSeq and is a predicted model, not a curated record. The transcript has 5 exons.